AAGAAAAAAAAAUAAAGAUUAUAUCAAAUCACAGUAAGGAAUGCCAAGAAUCUGGAAUAUGCCAAUCGCUGGCACAGAUGGACACAGUCAGGUGCUGUGGAAAGCUGCUCAUGACGACUGAUCUUGUCACCCUGACUGGCUGGAAAGCAGCCUGCAUUCUAGAUUCUGGGUGAGAACCUCUCAAGAGAAUGAUGGUUUGUAUGAGAACAACUGAGGGUAAACGGUCAGCUUGAACGUGAAUGGUACUGCGCAACGGACCCAAAUGGAACCAAAGGGGAGAAGGAAGCAACACGUGCACACACCACGCUCGCUGCUACUGUGGCUACCAUCACCCAUGAACAUCUGACCGCUCUGGAUGUGAUCAAGCCUGUGACUCCUGGAAGCCUCCAGGUUCUAACCCUCAGAGAACUCAACUCACACCUUCCAUGAGAAGUUAAGCAAUCGAUUAUCCUGUGACCAGGCCACUGCGCUCCGAGGCACAUACCUGAAGGAUUAAGGACAGGUGUGCAAACCAGGACAUGAGUUUACAGCAGCUCCAUCAACAAAGCCAAAGGUCCACCAGUUGACUGGCAAACACAACGUGGCACGCCCACACAACAGAAUGUCACUCCGUUCUAGAAAGGAAUGAGACCCGACACCCAGCAUGAAGGCAGAUAGAAGAACCAGGAAGCACUGUGCCAAGCGCAGAGAGUCAGGCCCAAAGAUCACAUCCGUACAAAUCUGUUUAUUUUAGAUAUCUAGAUUAAGGGAUUCAAAGAAAUUAAAAGCAAGUUGUUUGCCAGGGGAGCGAGGGAUUGUGGGGGUGACUGCUUCGUGGGUAUCCGGUUUCCUAAAGGUGGGUGAGAAUGUUCUGGAACUGGAGAGUAGUGCUGGCUUCACAUCGGUCACACAUGCAGCAAAUGGCAUUAAAAAUGGGCCAGGUGAUUAAUCCUGCUUUGUGUAUCUUACCACAAUAAAAAGAAGAAUUGACGUAACACACAGAGAAGGGUAGUGUGUGAGCAUACUAACAGCUUAGUGCUGUGGAAAUGAUCCCGGGUAAUAGAAAUACAGCAGCGAAUGGAGAAUUGAAGGUCCUAAAAUAAACCACCAACCGGAUACAAGGAAGGCUGGUCGGACUCCAGUCUCAGCAGCACUGAAAUCCACUGAGGGGGCAAGUGCCUCAACCAACCAACGGAAGGCCGAGGACCCCACAUUUCCCUAUAGAGUAUUAACUAAGGCGCAAGCAGCCCCAAUCCAACUGUUUACACACAGAGCUAAGCUCCUGGUCCGCUUCAGGCGAGACACUGGCACAGCACAGGGAGACCUUGUUUAAGGCUCUAACCCCUCCAGGGACUGAGUGGUGCCAGGGAAGGGGAAAGUGAGAAGCGGUCCUUUCUGAAGGGCCGUGUCACAGCCUGCCUGACCGAGGCUCCUCAGCUUCCUCUGGGGUGUGCUCACCUCGCCGUCCACCACCCAAGCUCACACCAUCCCAGUCUUCCAGAGUGAUGUCCUCUCCCUGACUUAGCUCACUAUGGCCCUUCCCCAGCAUAUCCUGACGGACCAUGCCAGAAUGUGAGCACUGCUCUCGCCCAUCUUGCCCUCACAGACUGGAGGAGUGGAGGCCUCACCACCAGGCUGGGCCGCACUUUUUCUUGGACUGCUCAUCUGUGCACCGACUACUGGCACAGUCGCACUGGACUGGCACACUACAGGGCCUACUCCGAGCUCAUGGAGGCCUCAUAUCUGUCUUGGUGGAAGAGGCUGCUGGUACCCAUCCCUCGAUGUUGGGAGAUCCCACACAUUGACCAGUAGUAUCUUUGAAAGAAUUCCUACUCCACAUAUCUUCCUUUGGUUCUAAUGUGUCACCCUGAGGUGAGGGGGUUAGAGUAUGGCUCCCUUUACUAGAAAUAUCACCUAUGACAUACAGCCUUCCAUCGCCUGUGCAUAUAAAUAUCCACAUACAUUAUCUAACAGUCACAGCCAUCACUGAGCCCCUAGUUUGUCUCAAGAGCUGGUACCAGGCCCACCUGACAGACCUUGUGCUUAAAGUUAUCAAUAGGUAUGUUUGUAACUAUUUCCUAAGCCUCACACAGCCAGUGUUUAAAACAUGUGAAGGGCAUCAUGCAGACUCCAAGGUCACUAGUAAGAUCCUCACCAGGUAGAAAUCUUCAGGAAGUCCAGGGGCUGAACUUCAGACCUUGAAAGGACCUUAGCAGUUACUUGGCCAACCUAAUGAAAAUCAGCCAAGUGCCUAAGUGGCUGCUGGGAGACCUGCCCAAGGUCAUCACAGGAGACAAGACAGCAAUUUCCAAAGCUGCCCUUUAUUUUUAUUUUUGUUAAAGAUGAAUUGACUCAUAAUGCUAAUUUUAAUAUUUAUCAAACCAGUCGUGGAAUGAAUUUUUAAUGCAAAAUAACUAUUUUGGUCUAAGAAAAAAAUUGAACAAACUGGGCUUUCAACACUACGUCAAGCUGUAUGAAUCCCAACCUACUGGGCCGUGGAAUAAUGGAUUCUUAAUUGAAUCUGUGCCUGAGAGUAGAAGACUGAUUUUUUAAAUGGGAAACCUCACAGAGGUGGUGAGAAAUAAAUUCAGUCAGAUAAAUUAUUCCAGGAGAAAGAACAAAACCAGGCCAGAAAAUGGCUUUUUCUAGAAGACCCCAAAUAAACCCAGGACAGCUGACAGCUGGCAAACCACAGUGCUCACCCCGUCUUCCUGGCCUCAGCAGACCCUAAUCUCCAAGGUAUCACUGAAGCCUGUCUAGCAGUUCAAGACCCUAGUCGUUUGCCACAUUUGUAUUACUGGCAUCCCAGGACAUGCUACCCAGAGUUGUCAAAGACCAUGGCAGCAGCAACUACCCCUAGCUAUCGAGGCUGGCAUAAGAGCCUGGGAAUAGCACUUCUCAAAGACAGGAAAACGGAGGCCCAGAGGGGCAGGCACCUGCUCCAGCAAGGUCACGUGGAGUUAAGGGCACUAAUCAUACAAGGUAGCGUUUUGGCAGAUUUGUCAGCUCCUGAGUUGCUCCAUCUCCAGCUGUGAGGGCCUCAGAGGCAUGCGAAUGAAAAUCAAGAGAGAAUUAUGGACAUAGUAUUUAUAGGCAGGAGGGAAGGAAUUAACAGGGUCAUGAAAGCUGGGACACAGGAGAUCUUGUUUACUGAGAUUCACACUUUACACUCAACCUUUAUUAAUGGUUUAUUCUGGUAACACUGGUGGGGGUUGGGAGGAGGGCUGGAGAGAUGGCUCUUGCAAAAGACGCAGGUUUGAUCCCAGCACACAACUGUGACUCCAGUUCCAAGGGUUCCAAUGGCACCUUCUGGUCUCAACGGGCGGCACCAGGCAUGUACAAGGUGGGCACACACACAAGCAGGUGAAAACUCACACUUUCCUGACAGUGGACUUGAACUUUAGCUGCAGAUGGUCUUGAUGGACCACCAUUACUAAGAAGGACGUUCCUUGCAUCAUGAGAAACAGGUAACCACACCAGGGAGGUACCACCAGCGUAACUUAGUGGGAAGAUGACAACCAUUUCCAAACAUAUCAGUUGCUUCAGAGGACACUGUCUCCAGGGCCUUUUCUAUUACUUUGAGUUUUAACCAAUAAUACUCAGUCAUGGGGUGUUUCAUAGGAUGCCAACGCCAAGAGAAGUCCAUGAAAACACUUUAAAAAGAUGGUGUUCGAUUAUUUUCUAUUUUUCCAAGAGCAGCUUCAACGUACUGCAAAUCAAACAAUUCCCACGAGGCCGGGUGGUGUGACUGACAACGCUGCAACCAAAGACCCUCCCAAGCUAUCCUGUGUGUCUGGGGUAAGUCACCAAUCCCCCAGCCCCACCCCAGCCAGUCUUUACUCCUGCACAAGGAUGAAACCCAGUUGGCCCUCUCUGUCACAGGGCGUGGACUGCUAACUGGCCAAUCAAGCUCCAAGACUUGGAGGGUAAGUUCAUCCUGUUGUUGUACGUAUGUACCACUACCAGUCCCAAGGGGAAGAUUCUGUGUAGACAGCACGCUCCUUUGAUGACCACUAAGAUAGGGAGAAGAAACAUCACAGAAUGUUGUUCAACAACACCAUCUUUAUUCAAAAAUAUAUAUCUAUGAGACAUUUCAGAAUAUACUGCUGUCACCAAUGGCAGCCUAUACUUCUAAAUAAAGUCCUAAAUUAAUAUACAAAUUUAAGCUUUAAAAAUAUCCUUUAGGAAAAACAAAACAAAAACAAAGAAAGACUGAAGACUUUCUGAGGAAUAUGACCCUAAAGGAAAGAUCCUUGAGGCCUAUGGAUCCCCUAAAGAAACACAAAACCAGAAGUCACCCACCCCACCCACCAGAUCAACUCUCAGGGACAAAAGUUUCACUUAAGUUAAACAAGGGAAGUAAGCACACAGUUGGGAGACUGAGGGAGGGGAGGAAGGAGAGGCAGACAACAAGAAAGAUUAAAAAACUGAAGCAUUUCAUUAAAACAAAACUAACUUCCUUACAGAAGUCUGCUAGCAACUGGUGUUAAGAGACCAACACAUUCAUUUACAUAAUCGCUACUGGUUCGUGUCUUGAUCCUGCUCUAAGAGUUACACACUGAUUGCUGUCAGACUCCAAAGAAUAAAACACAGCACUGAGCCGACUCCAUCAAGUUGUCAUCAGAGCAGAGCCGCUACAAUCUUUUGUCUGUCUCGUGGGAAAGCAGUGUCUGGGGGAGGAGUUGAGGAUGGUGUGCACGUGACAGUAUAGUGGCGCUGUGUGUGGGGAGGUGUUCCGCAGCAGAGACGGGAUUUCACCCAAGUCAGUGCUGUCCUGUAGCCUCUGGAGAAAAGGAUGCUGACAGAAGAGGCAGAGUGAACAAGCAAACAGCAGCCUGCAUUCGAUGUGAUAACAGUUUCCACAGUGACCAGGCUGGACACAGUGGAACUGAGUCUCACCUCAUAGCAGGCAGGGUGGCUUCUCAGACUGAAGCCUGCCUACAAUGACACAGGUUUGCUUUAACAUGUAAAAAACGAUGUGUGCUUUUUUGGUGAUCCUGAAAACAGCAACUUAAAGUAAUGAAGCUUCUCAAGGUCCCUUCACUGAAUUCCUUCUUACAGCUUUUGGACUUCAGCUCCAGGCAACAAUUCCUAUUACACUAGGAGGACAAAAGGGUUUCUGC
RNAcentral lists this small RNA (5102 nucleotides) under Rattus norvegicus (Norway rat). RNAcentral's name for it is "uncharacterized LOC108350509". Lineage: Eukaryota; Metazoa; Chordata; Mammalia; Rodentia; Muridae. The record is from RNAcentral.